This 611-nucleotide long non-coding RNA is filed under the name Ovis aries (sheep). RNAcentral's name for it is "lncRNA (ENSOARG00000026304.1)". Lineage: Eukaryota; Metazoa; Chordata; Mammalia; Artiodactyla; Bovidae. The record is from RNAcentral.
AAUACCACCCUAGCAAAAAAUUUUUGAUCUAAAACAAGCAUGUUUGCAAAAUUUCCCCCAUUCAAAUGAUUAGAAUAUUCUACACUCAACAGAAUGCUUUCAGACUAGCUUCUAAUGAAACUCUGAAAGCUAUUUGCAAAAGAAAUUAUGAAAGCAUGAAUCUCAUUUGAGACUGAGUCUGGCACUUGACUUUACUUGACACUUUUUUCUAUAUAUUUUUAUAUAAGUUCAGUUGCUCAGUCGUGUCCGACUCUUUGCGACCCCAUGAAUUGUAGCACGCCAGGCCUCCCUGUCCAUCACCAACUCCCGGAGUUCACUCAGACUCAUGUCCAUCGAGUCAGUGAUGCCAUCCAGCCAUCUCAUCCUCUGUUGUCCCCUUCUCCUCCUGCCCCCAAUCCCUCCCAGCAUCAGAGUCUUUUCCAAUGAGUCAGCUCUUCGCAUGAGGUGGCCAAAGUACUGGAGUUUCAGCUUUAGCAUCAUUCCUUCCAAAGAAAUCCCAGGGCUGAUCUCCUUCAGAAUGGACUGGUUGUUCUCCAACACCACAGUUCAAAAGCAUCAAUUCUUCAGCACUCAGCUUUCUUCACAGUCCAACUCUCACAUCCAUACAUGAC